GGCCCGAUGCCACGUCUCCAUUAGCGACUAGCCUUGACUGGAGAUGCUACAUUGUGCCGAGAGAGAGUUUUUGGACGUUUCACAUUUGAUAGGAACCUGUGGCUGUGAUUCUGUCGGCACACAGAGCCGUUUUUUGUGAUUACACUU
Molecule: non-coding RNA, 147 nt
Organism: Hordeum vulgare subsp. vulgare (domesticated barley)
Lineage: Eukaryota; Viridiplantae; Streptophyta; Magnoliopsida; Poales; Poaceae
Source: Rfam